Molecule: long non-coding RNA, 398 nt
Filed under: Homo sapiens (human)
Lineage: Eukaryota; Metazoa; Chordata; Mammalia; Primates; Hominidae
Description: HSALNT0145755
Source: RNAcentral
AACAGUUUGCUGGCAGUCACGUAUCAAGUGGAAAUAAAAUCGUCAAUAAAGCUCGAUAUGCCCUCUAGAAGACCUUAUCGCCUUGUUUUUCUAGGCUUUUAAUUCCUUGUUCAAACCUCUUCACACACUAACAGCACAAAGAUGAACCUACGGUGGAAUCCACCUUUCACAGGCUCAGCUAAGUGAAGAUUAACAAAUCGGACAGCCCUGUGGGCAAUAGAAUAAGUUGACACUUUAGAAUGAGUUUCCUAUUAUCUUUUAACUAGACAGUCUAGCUUUCUCAGGGCAAGACAAAAAUGUCCCAAUUACUUGUCAGCAGUUUUUAGUGGAGGAAAAACUGCAGUUAAAGCACCUUUACUGAGAACUUUGAGCAGUAAAUGUGCUUACAUAUUUAGUUU